GUGCGCCUUCGCCUGCCCUACAGUUUGCCGGCUCGCAUUUUCCGCAAGGAAUGUCUACUACAGACCCCUCCAUGACGGCCCGGAUGCCCGCGCGAGCCGCUCCUCGAGCCUGCAUCAGGACCUCGCUGCGAGCCCGCUAUUGGAUGUCGCCGCGGGUCCAACGCACCCAAUGCCAGAGGUGCCCGGCCGACGCAGAGGGAAUGCGUGUCGGAACUUUAACCCUUGAUGAUUCUUCUGGUGAUAAGUCUUGUGCCUUUGUCGUCGGCGGCCUUUUACGUUGCGCGAGGGUCCUCGGACGCCUCUUGCCCGCUGAAAAGUUGGAUUGGCUGAAGAUUCGGACCCUUGUCCUGACAGAAUGGCUUUUGCUGACGUCCCGGUUGCUGCUUUUUCUUAUAUCCGUCUGGAGAAGCAGGCCCAGGGAGAAGAUGCCAUGAGCCGUGCUGGUAAGAGUCUCUGGUCUGAGACCGCUCGUCCGCUCUUCUCCGCCGGAACCAGUGCUGUGGUUUGACAGCACGACCGAUCGAGUGGUGCGGUCUGAAAAGUCCGGUGUUGAUUUGGAGUUGAUACUGGAGACAAGAGGGCUUUGAGUUGAGCUUGAAUUCGGCCACACACAGAGACGGCGUUUCGCAGCGUUUAUCCAACAUCUCCUUGCCGGAAGUUGUGUCAACAUCACGUUUGGCACGGCCGCGAGAGACUGCCCGGAUCACAUUCAGAAACGCUGCUCGUCCCUCGCUGCCUAUUCAUGACGCUCUCGGAUCUUGAACCCUCAAUCUCUCAACUGCCGAAGACGCCUCGGAACUACGGAAUGCCCCUCGAGCCACUUGUUCGCUCCGGUGAUCUCGUGGUAUAUUUGAAGGUCUAGCCAGGCACAUUAGCUUCUUCGCGUCAGCACCGUCCGACGUGGCAGAAGGCGCCAGUCCACCGCUGAUUGCCCCGCGGCAUCGGUAUAUUCCUCUACUUGGGUACUUUCCCCAGAAGAGAUGAAAGCGCGUUUUUUUGUGGAUGUCUUUUGUGCGUGCGGCAAUGCUUCCCUUUUCCAACUUGCGUGGCGAGUUUUGAUGGGAACGAAUCAAAAACGAGUCCUUGCGGGCAGUGCACUACAUACGGAACCAGUCGGUAUUAGCUAGCUCAACGUGCUUUCGAAGCGGUAAUGGUUGGGCUGGGUUUUGGUGGUGGACUUGGCUGAUGACGGCAGCGAAUCGUUAGGGUUGGGCAUUGGGCGGUCUGAGUGAUGUUACAUCUACUUGGGCUCAAUCGCGCAUCUGGGGCCGAACCAAGAAGCAGUGUCGGGACCCAUCUCGUGUUGGAGUCAAAGUUUCGUGCUUGUCUGGUACUGCGGGCUGGCGGAACUGGUUGCGCGCUUGAGAUGUGCUCUGCGGCGCUCUCGUGUUGAGCUUUUGCCUUGAAAGGACAGGCCUCGGGAUAUGGGUAGUCCUGGUUGUCCCGGCCGUCUGAAAUGUCGGACGGGGCAACCCCCCGCAUUGGAGG
RNAcentral lists this telomerase RNA (1488 nucleotides) under Beauveria bassiana D1-5. RNAcentral's name for it is "Ascomycota telomerase RNA". It matches the Rfam family "Ascomycota telomerase RNA", at positions 208 to 1858 of the family's 1858-position model. Lineage: Eukaryota; Fungi; Ascomycota; Sordariomycetes; Hypocreales; Cordycipitaceae. The record is from Rfam by way of RNAcentral.